CCAGAGAACUUAGCAGAGAUGCUUUGGUGCCUUUCGGGAACUCUGAGACAGGUGCUGCAUGGCUGUCGUCAGCUCGUGUUGUGAAAUGUUGGGUUAAGUCCCGCAACGAGCGCAACCCUUUAUCCUUUGUUGCCAGCGGCUCGGCCGGGAACUCAAAGGAGACUGCCGGUGAUAAACCGGAGGAAGGUGGGGAUGACGUCAAGUCAUCAUGGCCCUUACGGCCAGGGCUACACACGUGCUACAAUGGCGCAUACAAAGAGAAGCGACCUCGCGAGAGCAAGCGGACCUCAUAAAGUGCGUCGUAGUCCGGAUUGGAGUCUGCAACUCGACUCCAUGAAGUCGGAAUCGCUAGUAAUCGUAGAUCAGAAUGCUACGGUGAAUACGUUCCCGGGCCUUGUACACACCGCCCGUCACACCAUGGGAGUGGGUUGCAAAAGAAGUAGGUAGCUUAACCUUCGGGAGGGCGCUUACCACUUUGUGAUUCAUGACUGGGGUGAAGUCGUAACAAGGUAGGCGUAGCGAG
RNAcentral lists this ribosomal RNA (523 nucleotides) under uncultured bacterium. RNAcentral describes it as "bacterial SSU rRNA". It matches the Rfam family "Bacterial small subunit ribosomal RNA", at positions 988 to 1509 of the family's 1533-position model. The record is from RNAcentral.